RNAcentral lists this ribosomal RNA (792 nucleotides) under bacterium MPI.09A. RNAcentral describes it as "bacterial SSU rRNA". It matches the Rfam family "Bacterial small subunit ribosomal RNA", at positions 87 to 888 of the family's 1533-position model. The record is from RNAcentral.
GUACACGAGCGGCGAACGGGUGAGUAACACGUGGGUGAUCUGCCCUGCNCUUCGGGAUAAGCCUGGGAAACUGGGUCUAAUACCGGAUAUGACCAGGAGGCUGCNUGGCUUUUGGUGGAAAGGUUUACUGGUGCAGGAUGGGCCCGCGGCCUAUCAUCUUGUUGGUGGGGUAAUGGCCUACCANGGCGACGACGGGUANCCGACCUGAGAGGGUGACCGGCCACACUGGGACUGACACACGGCCCACACUCCUACGGGAGGCAGCAGUGGGGAAUAUUGCACAGUGGGCGAANGCCUGAUGCAGCGACCCCGCGUGAGGGAUGACGGCCUUCGGGUUGUAAACCUCUUUCAGCAGGGACGAAGCGAAUGUGACGGUNCCUGCANAAGAAGCACCGGCCAACUACGUGCCAGCNNCCGCGGUAAUACGUAGGGUGCGAGCGUUGUCCGGAAUUACUGGGCGUAAAGAGCUCGUACGCGGUUUGUCGCGUCCUCUGUGAAAACCAGCANCUCAUCUGCUGGCUUGCANGCGAUACGGGCANACUUGAGUACUGCNGGGAGANACUGGAAUUCCUGGUGUAGCGGUGAAAUGCGCAUAUAUCANGAGGAACACCGGUGGCGAACGCGGCUCUCUGGGCAGUAACUGACUCUGAAGAGCGAACGCGUGUGUAGCGAACAAGAUUAUAUACCCGUGGUAGUCCACGCCGUACACGGUGGGCGCUAGGUGUGGCUUUCCUUCCACGGGAUCCGUGCCGUAACUAACGCAUUAACCGCCCCGCCUGGGUAAUACGGCCG